AGGCAGGCGAGGGAGCACUCUCCCCUGAGUGCUCUCUGCCCAGCUCCCUCGCGCACCGCACUGAUGCCGGAGCCGGAAUAUGACGUCAUAUUCCGGCUCUGGCUUUAGAAAGCAGUGCGCGAGGGAGCUGGGCAGAGAGCACUCAGGGGAGAGUGCUCCCUCGCGCGC
Molecule: microRNA precursor, 168 nt
Filed under: Pelobates cultripes (western spadefoot toad)
Lineage: Eukaryota; Metazoa; Chordata; Amphibia; Anura; Pelobatidae
Source: RNAcentral